CUUGGCGCGAGCGCCGGCGAGGUGGCGGGUGGUUUUUCGAGCGAGGCGAUUGCCGAAGACGAUCUUGCCGCCGGUCGCUUCGACGGCGCCAAGG
This 94-nucleotide transfer RNA is filed under the name Agrobacterium tumefaciens. RNAcentral's name for it is "tRNA-Ser(cga)". Lineage: Bacteria; Pseudomonadati; Pseudomonadota; Alphaproteobacteria; Hyphomicrobiales; Rhizobiaceae. The record is from RNAcentral.